CUCUUUCCGGCGGUGCUCGCAAGCCAGGCAGCCAUGUCUUAUCCCGCUGAUGAUUAUGAGUCUGAGGCGGCUUAUGACCCCUACGCUUAUCCCAGCGACUAUGAUAUGCACACAGGAGAUCCAAAGCAGGACCUUGCUUAUGAACGUCAGUAUGAACAGCAAACCUAUCAGGUGAUCCCUGAGGUGAUCAAAAAUUUCAUCCAGUAUUUCCACAAAACUGUCUCAGAUUUGAUUGACCAGAAAGUGUAUGAGCUACAGGCCAGUCGUGUCUCCAGUGAUGUCAUUGACCAGAAGGUGUAUGAGAUCCAGGACAUCUAUGAGAACAGUUUCAGUCAUUCAGUCAGUACCGCUGUAAGACUGCCAAGAAGUCAGAGGAGGAGAUUGACUUUCUUCGUUCCAAUCCGAAAAUCUGGAAUGUUCACAGUGUCCUCAAUGUCCUUCAUUCCCUGGUAGACAAAUCCAACAUCAACCGACAGUUGGAGGUGUACACAAGCGGAGGGUGUCACUGUGUCACCCAGUCUGGUCUUGGACUCCUGGGCUCAAGCAAUCCUGCCUUGGCCUCCCAAAAGUGCCAGGAUUAUUG
Molecule: small RNA, 583 nt
Filed under: Pongo abelii (Sumatran orangutan)
Lineage: Eukaryota; Metazoa; Chordata; Mammalia; Primates; Hominidae
Description: processed transcript
Source: RNAcentral